Molecule: non-coding RNA, 972 nt
Filed under: Cypraea tigris
Lineage: Eukaryota; Metazoa; Mollusca; Gastropoda; Littorinimorpha; Cypraeidae
Description: 12S ribosomal RNA
Rfam family: Microsporidia small subunit ribosomal RNA (bases 229-972)
Source: RNAcentral
GCGGAAGUAUAGCUUCCUUAUUUUCUAUUUCCUCCCGUGAGUUUAUUUUUUAUCAUAAAAAUAAAGUAAACAGUUAUGGGGUUCGUUAAUAAGGCUUGGCUCUGACCUAUAUGUAUAGUGUAGACUAGAGAAAACACAUGAUUUUUAUUGAUAGAGGCGAGGAAGAAAUCCACUAAGGAAUAGUAAUAUCUUGUUAUUAAAACCUUGGUUUUCUUAGGUAUUAUGUUUAAUAUGAUGCUUUGAAAAGUCCCGCUAACGUCAGUGUUUGAUAUUGAAAAAAGGAAGAAAUUCUGAAUUAGUUUAGUACCUAAAGGCCUGGUAAACUUGGUGCCAGCAUCCGCGGUUAGACCAAGAUGGCCAAAUUAUGCUACUUAGGUUGAAAAGGCAGUUAAGCAAGGUCAUUAAGGUUAUAAGAUUGUUAAUUGAGAAGUGAAAUUCAAACAUGAAUAAAUAGAUCGUAAUAUACCGUUCAAGCUGAAUCUGCGACAGUUUAUAGGGAAACUGGGAUUAGAUACCCCAUUAUUAUUUACUGUAAAUUGAUUAUAUUUACCCGAGUACUAUGAAUAUGAAGGAAUUUAAAACUCAAAGGGCUUGGCGGUGUUUUAGACCACUUAGGGGAACCUGUCUCAUAAUCGAAAGUCCACGUUAUACCUAGCCUCUUUUUGUGUUCAGUCUGUAUACCGUCGUCGUCAGGUAACUUUGAAAAAUAUAGAAGUUGGCCAAAAAAUCACUUUAAAUUUAGACGUCAGAUCAAGGUGCAACCUACAAGGAGGAGAGGAUGGGUUACAAUUAAGAAUUAUAAUACGGAAAGGAGAUUGAAAUUUCUAGCUAUAAGGAGGACUUAAAAGUAAGAAUUUAAUUAUAAAGAUUUUCUGAAUUUGGCUCUGAAACGUGCACACAUCGCCCGUCGCUCUCGUUGAAAAAUGAGAUAAGUCGUAACACAGUAGGGGUAAUGGAAAUUGUUCCUGGAUG